GAAUAGGGUGCAGUCUGGCUGCUACGUCUGUCUCUCCUUUGAUUGCUGGGGUUUUCAGCAGAUCUGGCCCCUUAGGCUGUGUCUCCUUCCCCCCUCACUGUCACAUAUCUGUCUCUCCUAAAGCUGUGCACUCCAUGGAAGGUGGAAGAGGAUGACUUUGCCCAAGGAUGAUGACCUUCCCUGAUCAGAAGAGGAGUGAUCUUCAGUCAAGGGUAUGUGAGUAACUGCAGUCCCAUACUAGAACCUCCAAAUAACUUUUCCAGUUCCAAAUAUGGUUACAAAAUUCAUCUCUUAUUUGAAGCAGAUUUGUUUUAUUU
Molecule: small nuclear RNA, 317 nt
Filed under: Microtus ochrogaster (prairie vole)
Lineage: Eukaryota; Metazoa; Chordata; Mammalia; Rodentia; Cricetidae
Description: 7SK RNA (ENSMOCG00000009074.1)
Rfam family: 7SK RNA
About the family: 7SK was discovered as an abundant small nuclear RNA in the mid-70s but a possible function has only recently been suggested.
Source: RNAcentral